AUUUACCCAAGCUUAUAGUUUAAAGUGUAGUUGCUUGGGUGGAUUUCAAUGCACUUCCAUAUACUACCUAUACUUUCUGCAUACUCCUCGAGGAGGGGUUUUAGUUGGUAGGCGCAUCGGCGAAUCCCACACUACCGCACUUCAAGGGGUAUCAUUUGAGGAUUUCCCCUUCUCAGAGGAA
Molecule: non-coding RNA, 181 nt
Organism: Agrilus planipennis (emerald ash borer)
Lineage: Eukaryota; Metazoa; Arthropoda; Insecta; Coleoptera; Buprestidae
Source: Rfam